UAAUUUGGGUCUCUGUUUGCCAUGUUUCUA
This 30-nucleotide non-coding RNA is filed under the name Mus musculus (house mouse). Lineage: Eukaryota; Metazoa; Chordata; Mammalia; Rodentia; Muridae. The record is from RNAcentral.